UUAAAAAGAACAGUUGUCCUGCUCAGAGGAAGAUAAUCAGGGGCAAUUUCUUUGGUCUGGAUUUUCUGUGGUCUGCUCUAGUGAAGUCCCAAAGGUGCCAGUCUAGAGAAUUUCAACCUGUAUUAUUAUUUAUGGAAGAAAAUAUGGCAAUAAGCACUUCAACUUGGAGAAUGAAUUAAAGCAGAAGAGCUUGCCUAUGAAUGUUGGAAAUCAAGAUGCCUGCAGAAACGGAACCUGUUUGUUACCCCGGGACAGCCUGUACACAGGAGGGCAGCCAAUGCUGCGAGUGGAUAAGUUCCUAGGAGUGAACAUCACCAGUAGCAUCCUGGUCAAACCGCGUAGAUGUCAAGGCCAAGAAAGCUCACCAGUGCCUCUACUUCCUCAGGAGGCUAAAGAAAUUUGGCAUGUCCCCUUUGACACUCACCAACUUUUAUCGAUGCACCAUAGAAAGCAUCCUAUCUGGAUGCAUCACAGCUUGGUACAGCAACUGCUCUGCCCAGGAUGGCAAAAAACUGCAGAGAGUUGUGGACACAGCUCAGCACAUCAUGGAAACCAGCCUCCCCUCCAUGGACUCUGUCUACACUUCUCACUGCAUUGGUGAAGCAGCCAGCUUAAUCAAAGACCCCACCCGCCUGGGUCAUUCUCUCUUCUCUCCUCUCCCAUCAGGCAGAAGCUACAGGAGCCUGAGGGCACGUACCACCAGGCUCAAGGACAGCUUCUAUCCCACUGUGAUAAGACUAUUGAAUGGUUCCCUUUUACAAUGAGAUGGACUCUUGACCUCACAAUCUACCUUGUUAUGACCUUGCAGCUUAUUGUCUACCUGCAAUGCACUUUCCUGUAGCUGUGACACUUUACUCUGUACUAUUGUUUUUACCUGUCCUACCUCAAUGCACUCUGUACUAACUCAAUGUAACUGUACUGCGUAUUGAAUUGAUUUGUACGAAUGGUAUACAAGACAAGUUUUUCGCUGUACCUCGGUACAGGUGACAAUAAUAAACCAAUACCAAUACCAGUA
This is a long non-coding RNA of Pristis pectinata (smalltooth sawfish), 1015 nucleotides long. RefSeq lists it as uncharacterized. The record is from RefSeq and is a predicted model, not a curated record. NCBI's taxonomy places the organism in Eukaryota, Metazoa, Chordata, Chondrichthyes, Rhinopristiformes, Pristidae. The transcript has 3 exons.